This 706-nucleotide long non-coding RNA is filed under the name Setaria viridis. RNAcentral describes it as "long non-coding RNA (SVIR_LNC008414)". Lineage: Eukaryota; Viridiplantae; Streptophyta; Magnoliopsida; Poales; Poaceae. The record is from RNAcentral.
GAGGGGAGGAGAAAACAACUGGGGGCUUGUUUAGUUCCUAAUUUGGGAGUGAUAAAAUUGGCAUUUUACCAUAAAUGCGCAACUGUAGCAUUUCGUUUGUAUUUGUAAAUUAUUGUCCAAACAUUGACUAAUUAGGCUCAAAAGAUUCGUCUCGCAAAGUACAACAAAACUGUGCAAUUAGUUUUUGAUUUCGUCUACAUUUAGUAUUCCAUGCAUGUACCGCAAGUUUGAUGUGAUGGGGAAUCUUCUUUUUGCAUAGUGCCAAAGUUGGAAAUUUGGGGUAACUAAACAUGGCCUGGAUCAGUUACAAGUCUGAUCAACUACUGAGUCCGCUCCCAUGUGCCGAGACCGGGAAAAUCUCUCUUUUGGGGGGAAACUCUCGUAGCCUAAUGGAGGUAGACCGAGACCAGGACGCCGGAUAACGAACUCUGGAAGCGGCAAGCUCCCAAAGAGCAACAGCUUUCGUGCAGAGAUGGGUCUUGGAUAAACAAAACAUAAAGCUAGCUGAUGCAGGGAGGCGCGUGUUGCCGUGCCGCCCUCGCCCUCGCGUUGCCAUCGAUCUUUGCCCAACCACGAAUCAACUUUGGAGCUGCAGGGGUUGUUGGGGUUAGCUAGAGAUGGAUGCGUCCAGGCAUCUACUCUCAUGCAUAUCCAGCUGGGUUCAGUAAACUAGCAGGCACCUCCAUCUACUUGCCAUCAACAUCCU